GGUUGAAAUUUUGCAGGGUUGUUGAAAUCAAAUUUAGGGACUUUACUGACGGGACUCUGGGCUGGCUGCUCUGUUCACUCGUCAGCGCAAGUGGCGUGACCAAGUAAUUGGGGCACGGGGCCGGCGCGGCGCGCUGCGGGCUUGCAGAAUUUUGUUUGUUUGUUUGGCCGCACGCUGGCGCAGCCACGGGCCGCAGUUACUGGGGCGCGCUGUCGUAACAAGCCGCGCGGUGUGGCCUGCACAUCGGGGUAGAGGGGGGGUAGUCUUCCCAGAUGUUCUAGUUAGUUGUUUAGUAAAUUUGACUUCAAUAACGAGCUUUUGUUAUGGUAGGCGCGGCAGGGCGCGCGAAUUUAAGCGCAAGUGAUUGGUGACUCGGGGCUCACUCAGGCGGAGGCUAUGCGUCUCACCUGUGGUCACGAGUUGUUAGUUCGUUCGUGAUGUAGGAAUUCAAGCUUUCGGGCGGAAGCUAUGGCCGACGCCAGAGGCCACGAGUCGUUUAAUUUAAGUUAGGUCAUAAUGUAGUCAUCUUCAAGCUUUCGGGCGGAGGCAAUGGUCGACGCCAGAGGCCACGAGUCGUUUAAUUUAAGUUAGGUCAUAAUGUAGUCGUCAAGCUUUCGGGCGGAGGCUAUGGCCCUCGUCAGGGGUCACGCGUCAUAGUUUUUAAAAUGUAAUGUUCGUUCGGGAUUUCAAGGGCAGGAGAGGCCCCUACGUUAUUUUUUUAAAGUAAUCGAUCAAGAAAGGCUUUUCGGAAAAUGUGAGUAUGGACUUAUCUUUGUUUUAAUUUUAAGUAAUAAUUAUGAUUUGAGGUAUUCGGAAGGACUAGGGAAGUGUUUAGUGAAGUUCUCUCAUUCUCUCUCUUGUAAGGUCGUUCAAUCGUUAAGGAAGUAAAGAGAUUAUUGUUUUAAAUUGUAAUCCCGCUAUUUAAAUGUUCUUUAAAAUGAUGUUGAGUAUUUGACUUUAAGAAUAAAAUAAUUUUAAUUAAGUAUUAUGUUAUUUUGCAAAAUCUCCUUAGUUCAGCUCUCACCAGACAUCCUGUACGGGAUGACGAACCUAUGAUCCUAGGUACAGUAAAGUAUUUUAUGAAGUUAAGACUAGUUGAUGCCAAGCGAGUUGUUUCUAUGUAAAGAGCUACGAUUCUCUCCCCCCUCUGAAGGUGCACGUGACAGAAAUGGUAGAGUUCGCCGGAUAGGUUCUAUUUCUGGAGAGAGAGAGAGGUAGAUUUUUAUGUUUAUUAUUAAGUUAGUUUCAGCUUCUGAUAGCAGGUUAUUAAGAGUUUACUUGAGGAGAGGAUUACGGAAUUUUAGUCUAUAGUGGAGGAAGUCUUUGAGAUUUUUUUUUUGACGUAACAGAUGUUUAUUUGAGUAUACUUGUAAGGAUAAAGUUUAUAGUGAUAAGUUGUUUUAAGUCGUUGAGUUUAUCAGGGAUUUUUACGUGAGGAGAAUACGUUAUAAUUUAAAUGAUUAAUAGAGAUAAUGCAAGUGGUUUAAUUUAAUUGAAAUUAAUUUUAAGAUUGUAGGUUAAGAGAGUUAAAAUUUAAAAUAAAGUUUUUUUCGUAAAUAGGAAUUAUUUUCAAGAGAAGUUUGUUUUGUUUUCGUGCGCGUAGGAGACGAGACGUACGAAUUAAAUCAGUCGAGGGAAGGAUAAACGUUAGAAAGGAAUUAAAGAGAAAACGAGAGUUUAUGUAAAAGAGAGUUAUAGAAUUUAUAGUGAUGUUUUGUUUUAAUUAGAAAAAUGUUGAGAGUUGUUUCAGAACGACACGUCAGUGGACGUGGCAGAGUGAACACGUGACGGGGAGGUGCUGAGACCUAGCGGAGAACGGAGGAACCGCAAGCGAGGGUUGGCGCACCUGAUGGAAUUCGGUGACGUCACGGGCUCAUACGGAGACGUGGACAGGCCGUGACCUUGUUUUGAUCAGCUGUACGGUAACUUAGCGAUAAGAAAAUAGACUAUUGGUUAAAUAAAUUUAAAUUUAAGUGUGUUUUAGGAGAAGAGGAACUUUCAGUAUAUUCCUUAAGAUGAGCUGAGCAGCAGUCCAGUUUACAAGAUGACAAGAGUUCGAGAGACAAGAUACAAGAUCACUGAAACAAGAGCCAAGACUGAAGAUUCAAGAGAAGAGAAAGCUGGCAGCCAUGGACUUACAAGUGGAGAUUAAUAAGGUCAUGUAAAGUUUUAUUUUUUUUUAUGGAAGACAGUAACUGGAGUUUUUUUUUUGUUAUAAACAUUAUUUACAGAACUUUUUAGGUUAUAGUAAUGUAAUGGAACUAGUGAGUUGUGGUAGCUGUCAAAAAGAACUAAUACCUUAAGUUUAAUUUUUAAAGUUAAUUUUCUUAAUUUACAGAGGGAUUAGUAGUUUUUUUUAAAACCUUAUUUAGGUUGGAAUUUAAAUACAAUAGCUUAUUAUAAAUGUGUACGAACAGUUCAAGUUCACAGUACUGAUAGGUAGGUCAGAUGAUCUUAUUGAUUUUGAUGAUUUGUUGUUUUGAGUUGAUUUUUAAGUGUUGUGAAUUAGACAAUGAAAUAGUUCUGAAAACUUAAAUUAUUUCAAGCUAAGAAAUAGUAAAGUUAAUUGUAACUCAAAGGACACCAGAAUUUAAUUUUUUUUUGAAUUAGUAAUGUUUGAAAAUUUUAUACUUUACAAGAAAGGUUAUAAACAAACAGAUCGGAUGGAACAAGGAUGCAGUAAAUCACAAUUUCAUUUAGAAUUAUUGAUUAGCUUUUGAGGUUAUGAAGUAAAAGUAAUUAUAGUUUAAAAGUUUGAAUAAAAAAAAAAUGUUUUUUUUUAUUUGUUUGAAAUAGAAAGUUUAAAAGUUAAUUAGUCAUGAUCUAGGUGGGUGAUGGGGUGGGAAUUGGCCACUCUUUUUCCCUAUAACCUCCCUAACAUGGCCUUCUAUUACAACUAACAGAAAUAAAGAAGAAGAAAAA
This is a long non-coding RNA of Bacillus rossius redtenbacheri, 2922 nucleotides long. RefSeq lists it as uncharacterized. NCBI's taxonomy places the organism in Eukaryota, Metazoa, Arthropoda, Insecta, Phasmatodea, Bacillidae. The record is from RefSeq and is a predicted model, not a curated record. The transcript is spliced from 2 exons.